GAUGAAGAACGUAGCGAAAUGCGAUAAGUAAUGUGAAUUGCAGAAUUCAGUGAAUCAUCGAAUCUUUGAACGCACAUUGCGCCCGCCAGUAUUCUGGCGGGCAUGCCUGUUCGAGCGUCAUUUCAACCAUCAAGCCCCCGGCUUGUGUUGGGGACCUGCGGCUGCCGCAGGCCCUGAAAAGCAGUGGCGGGCUCGCUGUCACACCGAGCGUAGUAGAUUUCAUCUCGCUCAGGGCGUGCUGCGGGUUCCGGCCGUUAAACCACCUUCAUAACCCAAGGUUGACCUCGGAUCAGGUAGGAAGACCCGCUGAACUUAAGCAUAUCAUAAGCGGAGGA
RNAcentral lists this unclassified non-coding RNA (335 nucleotides) under soil metagenome. RNAcentral's name for it is "partial contains 5.8S ribosomal RNA, internal transcribed spacer 2, and large subunit ribosomal RNA". The stretch from base 1 to 120 matches the Rfam family "5.8S ribosomal RNA", at positions 35 to 154 of the family's 154-position model. The record is from RNAcentral.